RNAcentral lists this ribosomal RNA (1427 nucleotides) under uncultured organism. Its description in RNAcentral is "SSU rRNA". It matches the Rfam family "Bacterial small subunit ribosomal RNA". The record is from RNAcentral.
CGCUAGCGACAGGCUUAACACAUGCAAGUCGAGGGGCAGCACAGGUAGCAAUACCGGGUGGCGACCGGCGCACGGGUGAGUAACGCGUAUGCAACUUGCCUAUCAGAGGGGGAUAACCCGGCGAAAGUCGGACUAAUACCGCAUGAAGCAGGGGCCCCGCAUGGGGAUAUUUGCUAAAGAUUCAUCGCUGAUAGAUAGGCAUGCGUUCCAUUAGGCAGUUGGCGGGGUAACGGCCCACCAAACCGACGAUGGAUAGGGGUUCUGAGAGGAAGGUCCCCCACAUUGGUACUGAGACACGGACCAAACUCCUACGGGAGGCAGCAGUGAGGAAUAUUGGUCAAUGGGCGUAAGCCUGAACCAGCCAAGUCGCGUGAGGGAUGAAGGUUCUAUGGAUCGUAAACCUCUUUUAUAAGGGAAUAAAGUGCGGGACGUGUCCCGUUUUGUAUGUACCUUAUGAAUAAGGAUCGGCUAACUCCGUGCCAGCAGCCGCGGUAAUACGGAGGAUCCGAGCGUUAUCCGGAUUUAUUGGGUUUAAAGGGUGCGUAGGCGGCCUUUUAAGUCAGCGGUGAAAGUCUGUGGCUCAACCAUAGAAUUGCCGUUGAAACUGGGAGGCUUGAGUAUGUUUGAGGCAGGCGGAAUGCGUGGUGUAGCGGUGAAAUGCUUAGAUAUCACGCAGAACCCCGAUUGCGAAGGCAGCCUGCCAAGCCAUUACUGACGCUGAUGCACGAAAGCGUGGGGAUCAAACAGGAUUAGAUACCCUGGUAGUCCACGCAGUAAACGAUGAUCACUAGCUGUUUGCGAUACACUGUAAGCGGCACAGCGAAAGCGUUAAGUGGUCCACCUGGGGAGUACGCCGGCAACGGUGAAACUCAAAGGAAUUGACGGGGGCCCGCACAAGCGGAGGAACAUGUGGUUUAAUUCGAUGAUACGCGAGGAACCUUACCCGGGUUUGAACGCAUUUUGACAGCUCUGGAAACAGAGCCUCUAGCAAUAGCGAUUUGCGAGGUGCUGCAUGGUUGUCGUCAGCUCGUGCCGUGAGGUGUCGGCUUAAGUGCCAUAACGAGCGCAACCCUUGCCACUAGUUACUAACAGGUAAAGCUGAGGACUCUGGUGGGACUGCCAGCGUAAGCUGCGAGGAAGGCGGGGAUGACGUCAAAUCAGCACGGCCCUUACAUCCGGGGCGACACACGUGUUACAAUGGCGUGGACAAAGGGAGGCCACCUGGCGACAGGGAGCGAAUCCCCAAACCACGUCCCAGUUCGGAUCGGAGUCUGCAACCCGACUCCGUGAAGCUGGAUUCGCUAGUAAUCGCGCAUCAGCCAUGGCGCGGUGAAUACGUUCCCGGGCCUUGUACACACCGCCCGUCAAGCCAUGGGAGCCGGGGGUACCUGAAGUGCGUAACCGCGAGGAGCGCCCUAGGGUAAACC